ACCUUUUCCCCCCACUUUUUUGCCAAAAUGUACCAGGUAGAAGGAAUGUGGCUUUUACUCUCUGCUUCAAAUGGAAUAUGAAGAGGCCUGACCCAAAACCCCAUUAAGACACUGUUAGCCUAAUCUAAGCCUUAAAAUUCAAAAUAUUGGCCAAGGCAAAAUUCUGUAUUCUGGGGAGAUUAAAAAUGUAAACAUCAUCAACAGACAAUAUUUGGCAAGAUCUUAGUAAUAUUUGGGCACUUAAGAACUCUGGAAUUCUUGAAGAAUCUAAUGAAAAGGGGGAGAAGGAUGGUAGCAAAUGAAAUGGCCUAUAAGCAACUAGUAGCAAGAUUUAGACCCGUUAAGUUACCAAAUGAAAGCACAAGGGGGAAACAAGUAGCAACUUAGCAUCUUCUAAUAUGAUUGCUGAUAGUGUGCAAGUUACCCACUGACUUUAAUCAAAUUAAACACAAUUACAAAUCCAGAAGGUACUAGGAAGACAUUCAGGUUUUGAGAAUUUUGCUUUGAUCAAUUGACACAAUUAGAGGACUGAUUAGAGUCAUGUUCUAACAUGUCCUAUCUGAUGACAAUGUGAAUCUUGGGGUUAAGUGUUGCCAGGAGUGUGAUCUUAGAUGUCUCCAGCAGGAAGAUGAGUUCAAAAUGUGGAAUGACAAAGACUGUGUCCUCCUUU
RNAcentral lists this long non-coding RNA (670 nucleotides) under Bos taurus (domestic cattle). RNAcentral describes it as "long non-coding RNA NONBTAT000558". The record is from RNAcentral. Lineage: Eukaryota; Metazoa; Chordata; Mammalia; Artiodactyla; Bovidae.